Molecule: ribosomal RNA, 494 nt
Filed under: uncultured bacterium
Lineage: Bacteria
Description: SSU rRNA
Rfam family: Bacterial small subunit ribosomal RNA
Source: RNAcentral
AGAACGAACGCUGGCGGCGUGGAUAAGACAUGCAAGUCGAACGCGACUUAUUUUGUUAGCAAUAACAGAGUAAGUUGAGUGGCGAAAGGGUGCGUAACACGUGGGAAUUUACCAAGAAGUGGGGAAUAGCUCGACGAAAGUCGAAUUAAUACCGCAUACGAUCGCAAGAUCAAAGCCGGGGACCGCAAGGCCUGGCGCUUUUUGAGAAGCCCGCGGCCCAUCAGCUAGUUGGCGGGGUAAAAGCCCACCAAGGCUAUGACGGGUAGCUGGUCUGAGAGGACGACCAGCCACACUGGAACUGAGACACGGUCCAGACACCUACGGGUGGCAGCAGUCGAGAAUUUUUCACAAUGGACGAAAGUCUGAUGGAGCGACGCCGCGUGGAGGAUGAAGGUUCUUGGAUUGUAAACUCCUGUCACUGCAGAACAAGGAUACGUUGUGAAUAGCACGCGUAUUGAUGGUAUGCGGAGGAGGAAGGGACGGCUAACUCUGUG